Anguilla rostrata (American eel) is the source of this 394-nucleotide long non-coding RNA. RefSeq lists it as uncharacterized. The record is from RefSeq and is a predicted model, not a curated record. Lineage: Eukaryota; Metazoa; Chordata; Actinopteri; Anguilliformes; Anguillidae. The transcript is spliced from 3 exons.
AUUUGCAGUCUAAUAGUGGAGGCAAUAGCAGUGAUAGGUUUCCCAGGGCGACGGAUGGGUGAGGGAGGGGUGCGGUCAUGAAGUGCAUGGUCAGGAUGGGCGCGGUCAGGAGGGGUGUGGUCAGAAGGGGUGUGGUCAGGAGGGGUGUGGUCAGGAGGGGUGUGGUCACACAGGGUGUGGUCAGGAGGGGCGUGGUCAGGAGGUGGCGGAGGGGCGGGUCAGGAGGGGCGGGGUCAGGAAGCUUGUGGGGCGGAGGGGCGGGGUCAGGAAGCUUGUGGUCAGGAGGGGUGGAGGGGCGGGGUCAGGAAGCUUGUGGUCAGGAGGGGCGGGGUCAGGCCGGGUCGGCGUACAGCAGGAAGCCGGAGAAGGUGCUGUCGUCCUCGCUGCUGGAGUA